GUGGCUGCCAUGGCGCGCGCGUCCCGGACGUAGGCACGUGUAGGGCCCUGCUUCUCGCCGGCGGCGACGCCGGCCUCGCCGUCUGGGAUAUCCAGCAGGUGCUGCAGUGCCGUCAUCAUCGGGUUCUCCAAGCCGAACACCAUGCCCGCCAUUCUCGCUCGCUGAUCUCGAGCUCGGUCGAUCUCCUCGGGUUGGACUUGCGUUGGAUUGCUUGUUGAAUUUUGUGGAAUGCUUUGGUGGGGAUGCGAUGGCGAGGCGGAGGGAGUUUAUGUAGGUCGCCGUUGGCGGGGAGUCUGGAAGGUAAUGGAAACUUCUGAAAUGUGGUGGAACGAGCGCGGAGCAGUCUUCGGCCGCUGAGGAGAAAGUUCUAGACGUUCGACCUUCGGAAUUGUUGUGCGGUAGCCUCGGGCCCCACAUGUCAUUCGGGGCAGCAGAGAGAUAUCUUUUUCCAGGACUAGGAUACGCAUAGGGAGAUUUUCGUUGUGAAAAAAAAACGGCAUACCGAGAUUUUUCCUAGGAGCAAAGGGACUUUUAUUCAAAACUAUUACUACAUUAUUGUAGUGUCAAAAACGUCCUUUAACUUGUACAAUUAUUCUCUUUUCUAUAAAGCUAAGGUACGUCAUUGGCAUUACCCUUGAAAAAACGUCUUUUAAUGUAAAAAAUGCUCCAACACUACGCUAUUGUAAAAAACACUGUUAUAUUAGGGACAGAGGGAGUAGUAAAUGUUGCAUGUGCGCCAGGCACGUGUUUAGAAUAAUAAUCAUAUGGAAAUACUAAGUACCGAACGUCAGUUUUCUGAAUUGUCGUCCAAAUGCUUUCGUAGCCGUCGCCUGAAUCUUGCCGUGCUCCUCAUGCCACGUCGUCACGAGCGAAUGGUUCGCGUCAGGCUGCGGUCGCCUGAGCGCCUUAUCCACUCGCAGCUCCACCGCUUUCCCUACCACCCAUUCCCCACCCCACCCUCCACAGUCUACUAUCUCUCGUCGUCGAAUUUGAAGCCGAGACGACCGGCGUUGGGCAGGCGGGACGGAGGCGAAGCCCGUCUGGCAGUCGGAGUUAUGUCGGGCGGCACACGAGUGCAGUGUGUUGGUCGGGCGAGCGUGACCUCGAGGAGCAACACGUUGCGACCUCCACGCUGUAGGGCGGGAAUCGACACCUCUCCGACCGCCUCCACGCCGCCGGGCUGGUAGAGGAGGACGGGGACCAGCUGGCCGCCGUCAACGACGGGAAUAUGCAUGGUGCCGGGCCUGUUGCCAUGGUGACCCUCCUCGCCGUCCUGCACUCGACGCCCAUCAUGGAGAUGUCGCCAUGACCCUUCUCCCUUGUGAUUGAGGCACAAAGCAGAGGAAGAUGGGGAAGAAUACGACGUGGUGCCCAUGGCCUUCAUCGAACCCGACGACGAAUCGUCACUGAGCGUAUUCACUCAUCCAUUUUUCUCUCUUUCAUGCUACUACUGAUGGACGCAUAGUGGCCAUUGACGAGAUUUUUUGGUCAUGUUAUGUGUCAUUUUAGUUCGAUAAAACUCAUAGGUAGGAGUAGAUGGCAUUUUUACGGUGUUUUUCUUUUCUUUUGGUAAGCUCCACAUUGUGUGUGUAUUUAGUUCCCUAACACCUUAGUGAUGGCAGUUUUCAUUUUCAGUAACCAUGUCAUCAUUUUCGUCAAAUGAGGUGAUCAGCAUGUAUGUGUCAAGCUAUUUUUUGCUUUUGUUUUGCUUCACAUACAUGUAUUUAUAGUUCAUAGUUCUGCUCUAAUUUUCAUAAUCAUGGCAAUUAAGUAUGUGCAUAGGUGGCUAUUUUUUUAAAAUUAUCAUGGCAUCUUUGUGUGUACAAGAAUUGGGGUUCAGACUAUAUCCAUGUUGUCGGCAAUAGUUAUAUUAAUGUUUUGACAUGUAAACUUAGUUUUGUUUGCCAUGAUAACUAUAGUUAUUUUGUGAUGGCCCACAAGUAUAGGGGAUCACGAUAGUCCUCGAGGGUAGUAUUUUACCUAAUUUAUUGAUUCGAUACAAUAAGAGCCAAAGAAUAUUUAUAAGCCUUAACAGUUGAGUUGUCCAUUUAACCAAGCAUGAGAAGCCACUUCUGUGCAGCAAUUUAUUAGUAGCAUAGUAACAUGAUAACAAUGAUAGCAGUAGUAAUGGUAAAAAUAGCAGUAAUAGCAGUUUUGUGGCAAUUAGAUCAGCAUCGGUUGGAUCAGCAGCAGUAAUAGUAACUUGAGCAAAGACAAUAUUGUAAAAGCGUAGGUAUGGAUUAGCGAUAGAUAUUCAGACGUAAUUCAUAAUGUAACGUUCACAACCUAGAGCGACACACAAUGACUCUAAUUCAUCAAUUGUAUGUAGGCAUGUAUUCCAUAUUUAGUCAUACGCGUUUGUGAUAAGAACUUGCAAGACAUCCCCUCUCGUGGAAACGGAGUCCUAAUGGAAACUAAGGAUAAUUACGGUGCUCCUUUCAAUAGAGAACUGGAACAAAGUAUUAGAACAUAGUGAAUACACAAACUCUUCAAAUUACAGUCAUCUCCGGACAGUAUCCCAAUUAUUCUCACUUUGGAGAUCUAUGGAUCGAAACAAUAAUAGGUUCAUAUAACUUGCAGAUAGGAUCAUGAACUCAAAUAUAUUCAUGCAAACAUAAUAGAUUAAGAUCUAAAAAUCAUGGCACUUGGAUCCUAUUGAAAAGCAUUAAACAUAACAAAGUCAUAGCAACAUCAAUCUCAGAACAUAGUGUAUACUAGGGAUCAACCCUAACAAAUUGACUCGAUUACAUAAAGAUUCUCAUCCAUCUCUAUCCACCUCCAGUAUGCCUACAAUGGAAUUACUAACUCCCGGUAGUGAGCAUCAUGAGGUUGUCAAUUGGAGAAGGGUUGGUGAUGACAACGGUGAUGAAUCCCUCUUGGCGGAGACUCGAACGGACUCUAGAUCAGGCUCCUGGUGAAGAAGAGGAGGUGGCGGCGGCUCCAUAUCAUAAAAUACGAUAAAACUUUAUCUCUGAUUUUUUUUCUCAGGAAGACGAUAUAUGUAGCUUGGAAUUAGGUCAGACGCCCACCCGUGGGACCCAUAAGGUAACAUGGCGCUCCCUUGCCUUGUGGGAUGCUGGUGGCCCAUCUCUGGUAUAUCUUUACACCAGUAUUUUUUAUAUAUUUUAAAAAAAUCUUCAUGAAGUUUUGUCCAAUUCCAAGAACUUUUAUUUGGGCACAAAAAUAAUACCGUGCUAGUUCUGCUGAAAAGAACGUUAGUCUGGGUUAGUUUUAUUAAAAUCAUGCAAAUUAGAGUCCAGACCAAAUGGCAAAGUGUUUGGAAAAAUGGACACAUGGAAGACCUAUCAUUUUGCCAUGGCAAAUUUAACAUGUGUUUUUUGAUACGAUAACUUAUGGUGUUUUAUCGUGGAAACUAGAAUAUACUCCCACCAUGGCAAUUUGAGAUGUGUUUUUUCUUCAUGGCAAAUUAAGCAUCAUUUUCACUACUAGUUUUGGAGUUUUUCACAUGCCAAUUAACACUUGUCAUGGCAACUUUAAGAUGUGUUGGCAUGGCAAUAUUUUUAGAUGUUUCUUACAGUGUGUUUUGACAUGGAAAAUACAAUACACGUUUUUGCCAUGGCAAAUUAAGAUGUGUUGCCACAACAAGUUUGUAGUUUAUAGCAACUUAAGAUGUGUGUUUAUCAUGCCAAAUUAAGAUCAGUUUCUGUGACUAGUUUUGAGUUUUUUUUACACGACAUUUCAACACUUUUGCUAUGGCCACUUCAACAUGUGUUGCCAUGGCAGUUUAGAGUGUUUUACGGGAUGUUUUGACAUGGAAACUAAAAUAUAUUUUUUGCCAUGGAAAUUUAAGAUGUUUUUGCGAUGUUAAAAGACGUUUUUUGUAACACUCUGGAUGUCUUGGCAAUUGAAGAUGUGUUGCCACGAAAAGUAUGAAGUAUAUGACAAUUUAAGAUGUGUUUUUGACACGACAAAAUAAGAUGAGUUUUUGCAACAAGUUUUGAGGUUUUUUCAUACGAUAUUUCAACACUUUUGCCAUGGCAACUUAACAUGUGUUGCUAUGACAAGUUUGGAGUUUUUUAUGGUGUGAUUUGACAUGGAAACUAAGAUAUAUUUUUUGGCAUGGAAAUUUAAAAUGUGUUUUUGCCAUGUCAAAAGACAUUUUUUGGUAACACUCUGAACGUCAUGGCAAUUUUUUGACAUCAUGGUAAUUUUGCAUUUUUUUCCAGAUCAUUCACAUGGAAAUUUUUAGAAACAUUUGUGUCUUAUAAACCAUAACAAGUAUAGUUAUUUUAACUUUAAUUAUCUUCAUUCCCAUGGAAAAUUUUAAUUUUCUUUGUCAUGGCAAAUUUUACAUUUCUAAUUUGCCAUGGAAAAUUUACCUUUAUUCACUAGUGUCGGAUGGUCCUAACGCGACAGUACAAUCAGAGACACUUCGACGAAACCGUGUGCGGUGCAUUAAUUGCAAACGGUGGUGUAAGAAAAUCGUAAAAAAUGAUACAGAGUGUUUGUGAUGGCGGAGACAUCUAACACGAUUCGUAUUAGAGUUGCGUGUGCGAUUCAUACUGGUGUAUUGUUAGGGUGAAUAUCUGGACUCGGGCAUGCACACCAGGCAUCUCAGGCGACCUGGACCUGGAUAGUCUUGGGCUUCUUGGGCCCAGACGGCGGCAGCUUCUCGACGGUCAUGGUAAGCAUGCCGCCGCGGCACGUGACAGAGAUCUUCUCCAUGUCGGUGUUCUCUGGCAGCACGAACUUGCGCAUCAUCUUGCCCAUGCAGCGCUCCACCCGCAUGCAUUUAGCGUCCUCUUUCUCCUCCCUGCGCCGCUCACCGUUAAUCACCAGCACUCGCUCGUCCUCCACCUGCACCUUGAUGUCGCCGGAUCCGAGCCCUAGCAUGCCGACCAGAAACACAUACGCGCCUGAUAGCUCCUUCACGUCGGUCGGGGUGGCCGCCAUGGCACGUGCGUCGGGCCCGGCUUCUUGCUGCCGGCUGCACCGGCUCCACCAGCCUCGUCGUCUGCGAUGUCCAGUAGGUGCUGCAGCGCCGUCAUCAUCGGGUUCUCCAAGCCAAACACCAUUCUCGCCAUUCUCGCUCGCUGAUCUUGAGCUCCAUAGAUCUCCUCGGGUUGGACUUGCGUUGGAUAGCUUGUUGAAUUUUAUGGAAUGCUUUGAUGGGGAUGCAAUGGCGAGGAGGAGGAGGGAGUUUAUGUAGGUCGCCGGACACGGAGAGU
RNAcentral lists this long non-coding RNA (5189 nucleotides) under Triticum aestivum (bread wheat). RNAcentral's name for it is "long non-coding RNA (TAES_LNC026881)". The record is from RNAcentral. Lineage: Eukaryota; Viridiplantae; Streptophyta; Magnoliopsida; Poales; Poaceae.